UACGAGGGGGGCGAGCGUUGUCCGGAAUCAUUGGGCGUAAAGCGCGCGUAGGUGGCCCCAUAAGUCCGCUGUGAAAGUCAAAGGCUCAACCUUUGAAAGCCGGUGGAUACUGUGGGACUAGAGUACGGAAGAGGCGAGUGGAAUUCCUGGUGUAGCGGUGGAAUGCGCAGAUAUCAGGAGGAACACCGGUGGCGAAGGCGGGUCUCUGGGCAGUAACUGACGCUGAGGAGCGAAAGCGUGGGGAGCGAACAGG
This 253-nucleotide ribosomal RNA is filed under the name uncultured bacterium. RNAcentral's name for it is "partial 16S ribosomal RNA". It matches the Rfam family "Bacterial small subunit ribosomal RNA", at positions 524 to 776 of the family's 1533-position model. The record is from RNAcentral.